This is a non-coding RNA of Vicia faba (fava bean), 219 nucleotides long. Lineage: Eukaryota; Viridiplantae; Streptophyta; Magnoliopsida; Fabales; Fabaceae. The record is from the annotation of a GenBank genome assembly.
AUGUUGAUUCUGGUUAAAAAGAUUUACUUUAUUGGGAAUGAGUAUGGACUAUACUUUUUAAAUUGUGGUUCCCAUUGCAUUGCAGCUGCAAUAUUGUUGAAGCUCAACCGCAUCGCAUCAAACAAAUCCACACUUUCAAUGGGAUGGGUUUAUGAAUCAUGGUGCAAAAUCGGAGACAUGGACUUUAUGAAUGUUGGGUUUGAAUGCUGGAUUUUAUGA